Molecule: transfer RNA, 70 nt
Filed under: Megalinus hunanensis
Lineage: Eukaryota; Metazoa; Arthropoda; Insecta; Coleoptera; Staphylinidae
Description: tRNA-Trp
Source: RNAcentral
AAGGAUUUAAGUUAGUUAAACUUAUAGCCUUCAAAGCUUUACACAAAGAAAUAUAAGCCUUUAAGCCUUA